CUCGGGCUUGCAGUGGGUACGGGCAGACUAGAGUGCGGUAGGGGAGAUUGGAAUUCCUGGUGUAGCGGUGGAAUGCGCAGAUAUCAGGAGGAACACCGAUGGCGAAGGCAGAUCUCUGGGCCGUAACUGACGCUGAGGAGCGAAAGCAUGGGGAGCGAACAGGAUUAGAUACCCUGGUAGUCCAUGCCGUAAACGUUGGGCGCUAGAUGUAGGGACCUUUCCACGGUUUCUGUGUCGUAGCUAACGCAUUAAGCGCCCCGCCUGGGGAGUACGGCCGCAAGGCUAAAACUCAAAGGAAUUGACGGGGGCCCGCACAAGCGGCGGAGCAUGAGGAUUAAUUCGAUGCAACGCGAAGAACCUUACCAAGGCUUGACAUACACCGGAAACGGCCAGAGAUGGUCGCCCCCUUGUGGUCGGUGUACAGGUGGUGCAUGGUUGUCGUCAGCUCGUGUCGUGAGAUGUUGGGUUAAGUCCCGCAACGAGCGCAACCCUCGUUCUAUGUUGCCAGCGGGUUAUGCCGGGGACUCAUAGGAGACUGCCGGGGUCAACUCGGAGGAAGGUGGGGAUGACGUCAAAUCAUCAUGCCCCUUAUGUCUUGGGCUUCACGCAUGCUACAAUGGCCGGUACAAAGGGCUGCGAUACCGUAAGGUGGAGCGAAUCCCAAAAAGCCGGUCUCAGUUCGGAUUGAGGUCUGCAACUCGACCUCAUGAAGUCGGAGUCGCUAGUAAUCGCAGAUCAGCAACGCUGCGGUGAAUACGUUCCCGGGCCUUGUACACACCGCCCGUCAAGUCAUGAAAGUCGGUAACACCCGAAGCCGGUGGCCUAACCCUUG
This 832-nucleotide ribosomal RNA is filed under the name uncultured bacterium. RNAcentral's name for it is "bacterial SSU rRNA". It matches the Rfam family "Bacterial small subunit ribosomal RNA", at positions 614 to 1444 of the family's 1533-position model. The record is from RNAcentral.